ACAAACUAUCUGUUUGGUUUAUUUGGGAUUGGCGUCCCCUUUGGGCAAUUCUUUUUCACCAGGCAAAAAUAAUUGGCAAAGAAUUAUCUUACCCAGUUCGGUUGAUAUGCUCCUGGUGGCCUACUCAUCCAUUCUAAUCCAUACUCAUUGAAAUGGCAUUCCAACUCAAGAUAUUCAUGUAGCUCCAUCAUCAUGAUCAGAUGUUCUUCCAUGAAUGACCUUCUGAUCUCUCUUGCUGUGGGUUUUAACCCAUCAUAAAAUUCUCUUUGUGCUCCUUCUAUUUGCCACCUAAUUGCAUCUCAAAAUUGGGGAUCCUUCCGCCUGAUAACAUUAGCAUCCUCUGGUUUAGCUUCCACAUCUGGAACUUCUAUUUGUUCUCCCAAGUUAGCAGCUUUAGUUUCACCCUCUACAGGCAAUGGUUGAGUUUCAACAACUGUUACUUCAUCGAGGCUUGAAUUGGUGCUGCUAGUGCUACUCUCACUCUCCUCCUCAGACUGGAAGAGUACAAGAUCUUCUCUUUCAUGUUGUCUGGUGUUGUAGGUAGGUGCGGAUGCAUUUCUACCCCUUUGAGACCUUCGGCCUCUAAUUUAUGGAAGUUUGGGAGCCAUAAC
This 611-nucleotide long non-coding RNA is filed under the name Capsicum annuum. RNAcentral describes it as "long non-coding RNA (CANN_LNC010808)". The record is from RNAcentral. Lineage: Eukaryota; Viridiplantae; Streptophyta; Magnoliopsida; Solanales; Solanaceae.